This 1330-nucleotide ribosomal RNA is filed under the name Salmonella enterica subsp. enterica serovar Derby. RNAcentral's name for it is "partial 23S ribosomal RNA". It matches the Rfam family "Bacterial large subunit ribosomal RNA", at positions 1630 to 2925 of the family's 2925-position model. The record is from RNAcentral. Lineage: Bacteria; Pseudomonadati; Pseudomonadota; Gammaproteobacteria; Enterobacterales; Enterobacteriaceae.
GGUAACAUCAAAUCGUACCCCAAACCGACACAGGUGGUCAGGUAGAGAAUACCAAGGCGCUUGAGAGAACUCGGGUGAAGGAACUAGGCAAAAUGGUGCCGUAACUUCGGGAGAAGGCACGCUGACAUGUAGGUGAAGUGAUUUACUCAUGGAGCUGAAGUCAGUCGAAGAUACCAGCUGGCUGCAACUGUUUAUUAAAAACACAGCACUGUGCAAACACGAAAGUGGACGUAUACGGUGUGACGCCUGCCCGGUGCCGGAAGGUUAAUUGAUGGGGUCAGCGCAAGCGAAGCUCCUGAUCGAAGCCCCGGUAAACGGCGGCCGUAACUAUAACGGUCCUAAGGUAGCGAAAUUCCUUGUCGGGUAAGUUCCGACCUGCACGAAUGGCGUAAUGAUGGCCAGGCUGUCUCCACCCGAGACUCAGUGAAAUUGAACUCGCUGUGAAGAUGCAGUGUACCCGCGGCAAGACGGAAAGACCCCGUGAACCUUUACUAUAGCUUGACACUGAACAUUGAGCCUUGAUGUGUAGGAUAGGUGGGAGGCUUUGAAGCGUGGACGCCAGUCUGCGUGGAGCCGGCCUUGAAAUACCACCCUUUAAUGUUUGAUGUUCUAACGUGGACCCGUGAUCCGGGUUGCGGACAGUGUCUGGUGGGUAGUUUGACUGGGGCGGUCUCCUCCUAAAGAGUAACGGAGGAGCACGAAGGUUGGCUAAUCCUGGUCGGACAUCAGGAGGUUAGUGCAAUGGCAUAAGCCAGCUUGACUGCGAGCGUGACGGCGCGAGCAGGUGCGAAAGCAGGUCAUAGUGAUCCGGUGGUUCUGAAUGGAAGGGCCAUCGCUCAACGGAUAAAAGGUACUCCGGGGAUAACAGGCUGAUACCGCCCAAGAGUUCAUAUCGACGGCGGUGUUUGGCACCUCGAUGUCGGCUCAUCACAUCCUGGGGCUGAAGUAGGUCCCAAGGGUAUGGCUGUUCGCCAUUUAAAGUGGUACGCGAGCUGGGUUUAGAACGUCGUGAGACAGUUCGGUCCCUAUCUGCCGUGGGCGCUGGAGAACUGAGGGGGGCUGCUCCUAGUACGAGAGGACCGGAGUGGACGCAUCACUGGUGUUCGGGUUGUCAUGCCAAUGGCACUGCCCGGUAGCUAAAUGCGGAAGAGAUAAGUGCUGAAAGCAUCUAAGCACGAAACUUGCCCCGAGAUGAGUUCUCCCUGAGACUUAAAGUCUCCUGAAGGAACGUUGAAGACGACGACGUUGAUAGGCCGGGUGUGUAAGCGCAGCGAUGCGUUGAGCUAACCGGUACUAAUGAACCGUGAGGCUUAACCUUACAACGCCGAAG